CCUACGGGACGCAGCAGUGGGGAAUAUUGCACAAUGGGGGGAACCCUGAUGCAGCGACGCCGCGUGAGUGAAGAAGUAUUUCGGUAUGUAAAGCUCUAUCAGCAGGGAAGAAAAUGACGGUACCUGACUAAGAAGCCCCGGCUAACUACGUGCCAGCAGCCGCGGUAAUACGUAGGGGGCAAGCGUUGUUCGGAAUAACUGGGCGUAAAGGAUGCGUAGGCGGGUAAACAAGGUAUAUGGUAAAUAUAUAGGCUUAACCUGUAGAAAGCAUAUAAAACUGUUUAACUAGAGUGCAGGAGAGGUAA
This 305-nucleotide ribosomal RNA is filed under the name uncultured bacterium. RNAcentral's name for it is "bacterial SSU rRNA". It matches the Rfam family "Bacterial small subunit ribosomal RNA", at positions 338 to 660 of the family's 1533-position model. The record is from RNAcentral.